Molecule: ribosomal RNA, 720 nt
Filed under: uncultured bacterium
Lineage: Bacteria
Description: bacterial SSU rRNA
Rfam family: Bacterial small subunit ribosomal RNA
Source: RNAcentral
AAGCCUGCCUUCGAACUGGAUUGACCUUGAGGGCAGGAGAGGGGGAGGUGGAAAUUCCUGUGGUAGGCGGUGAAAUUGCGUAGAUUAUUGGGAGGAAACACAGUGGCGAAGGCGGCUUCUCUGGGCUGUUUUCUGAUCGUGAAGGCGGGGAAAGCGUGGGGGAAGCAAACGGGAUUAGAUUACCCCGGUAGUUCACGCCGUAAACGAUUGGGUGCUAGGUGUAGAGGUAUCGACCCCUUCUGUGCCGUAGUUAACACAAUAAGCACCCCGCCUUGGGGAGUACGGCGCAAGGUUGAAACUCAAAGGAAUUGACGGGGGCCCGCACAAGCGGUGGAGCAUGUGGUUUAAUUCGACGCAACGCGAAGAACCUUAUCAGGGCUUGACAUCCUCUGACCGCAUAUGAAAGUAUGUUUUCUGGCUUCGGUCAGACAGAGAGACAGGUGGUGCAUGGUUGUCGUCAGCUCGUGUCGUGAGAUGUUGGGUUAAGUCCCGCAACGAGCGCAACCCCCUACGUUUAGUUGCUAACGUGUAACGAUGAGCACUCUAGGCGGACUGCCGUUGACAAAACGGAGGAAGGUGGGGAUGACGUCAAAUCAUCAUGCCCCUUAUGUUCUGGGCUACACACGUGCUACAAUGGCCGGUACAAAGGGACGCAAAGCCGCGAGGUGGAGCAAAUCCGAUAAAAGCCGGUCUCAGUUCGGAUUGCAGGCUGCAAUUCGC